This 479-nucleotide ribosomal RNA is filed under the name uncultured organism. Its description in RNAcentral is "partial 16S ribosomal RNA". It matches the Rfam family "Bacterial small subunit ribosomal RNA", at positions 329 to 799 of the family's 1533-position model. The record is from RNAcentral.
ACGUACACUCCUACGGGAGGCAGCAGUGGGGAAUUUUGGACAAUGGGCGAAAGCCUGAUCCAGCCAUGCCGCGUGCAGGAUGAAGGCCUUCGGGUUGUAAACUGCUUUUGUACGGAACGAAACGGCCUUUUCUAAUAAAGAGGGCUAAUGACGGUACCGUAAGAAUAAGCACCGGCUAACUACGUGCCAGCCGCCGCGGUAAUACGUAGGGUGCAAGCGUUAAUCGGAAUUACUGGGCGUAAAGCGUGCGCAGGCGGUUAUGUAAGACAGUUGUGAAAUCCCCGGGCUCAACCUGGGAACUGCAUCUGUGACUGCAUAGCUAGAGUACGGUAGAGGGGGAUGGAAUUCCGCGUGUAGCAGUGAAAUGCGUAGAUAUGCGGAGGAACACCGAUGGCGAAGGCAAUCCCCUGGACCUGUACUGACGCUCAUGCACGAAAGCGUGGGGAGCAAACAGGAUUAGAUACCCUUGUAGUCCCAUG